RNAcentral lists this ribosomal RNA (229 nucleotides) under uncultured bacterium. RNAcentral's name for it is "partial 16S ribosomal RNA". It matches the Rfam family "Bacterial small subunit ribosomal RNA", at positions 568 to 796 of the family's 1533-position model. The record is from RNAcentral.
UACGUAGGCGGAAAAUUAAGUCAGUAGUGAAAUCCUGCAGCUUAACUGUAGAACUGUUAUUGAUACUGGUUUUCUUGAAUAUAGUUGAGGUAGGCGGAAUGUGUAAUGUAGCGGUGAAAUGCUUAGAUAUUACACAGAACACCGAUUGCGAAGGCAGCUUACUAAGCUAUGAUUGACGCUGAGAUACGAAAGCGUGGGGAGCGAACAGGAUUAGAUACCCUGGUAGUCC